This 253-nucleotide ribosomal RNA is filed under the name uncultured bacterium. RNAcentral's name for it is "partial 16S ribosomal RNA". It matches the Rfam family "Bacterial small subunit ribosomal RNA", at positions 524 to 776 of the family's 1533-position model. The record is from RNAcentral.
UACGUAGGGUGCGAGCGUUAAUCGGAAUUACUGGGCGUAAAGGCGUGCGCAGGCGGUUCGUUGUGUCGGCGGUGAAAGCCCCGGGCUUAACCUGGGAAUGGCCGUUGAAACUGGCGAACUGGAGUGUGGCAGAGGGGGGUGGAAUUCCGCGUGUAGCAGUGAAAUGCGUAGAGAUGCGGAGGACACCGAUGGCGAAGGCAGCCCCCUGGGCUAACACUGACGCUCAGGCACGAAAGCGUGGGGAGCAAACAGG